GGCGCCGUUGCCGGGGAU
RNAcentral lists this small nuclear RNA (18 nucleotides) under Arabidopsis thaliana (thale cress). Its description in RNAcentral is "snRNA_12900". Lineage: Eukaryota; Viridiplantae; Streptophyta; Magnoliopsida; Brassicales; Brassicaceae. The record is from RNAcentral.